Molecule: ribosomal RNA, 783 nt
Filed under: Vibrio sp.
Lineage: Bacteria; Pseudomonadati; Pseudomonadota; Gammaproteobacteria; Vibrionales; Vibrionaceae
Description: bacterial SSU rRNA
Rfam family: Bacterial small subunit ribosomal RNA
Source: RNAcentral
AACACCUGCAAGUCGAGCGGAAACGAGUUAACUGAACCUUCGGGGAACGUUAACGGCGUCGAGCGGCGGACGGGUGAGUAAUGCCUGGGAAAUUGCCAUGAUGUGGGGGAUAACCAUUGGAAACGAUGGCUAAUACUGCAUUAUAGCUUCGGCUCAUAGAGGGGGACCUUCGGGCCUCUCGCGUCAGGAUAUGCCCAGGUGGGAUUAGCUAGUUGGUGAGGUAAGGGCUCACCAAGGCGACGAUCCCUAGCUGGUCUGAGAGGAUGAUCAGCCACACUGGAAGUGAGACACGGUCCAGACUCCUACGGGAGGCAGCAGUGGGGAAUAUUGCACAAUGGGCGCAUGCGUGAUGCAGCCAUGCCGCGUGUAUGAAGAAUGCCUUCGGGUUGUAAAGUACUUUCAGCAGUGAGGAAGGUUCUUGCGUUAAUAGCGUAUUCAUUUGACGUUAGCUGCAGAAGAAGCACCGGCUAACUCCGUGCCAGCAGCCGCGGUAAUACGGAGGGUGCGAGCGUUUAUCGGAAUUACUGGGCGUAAAGCGCAUGCAGGUGGUUUGUUAAGUCAGAUGUGAAAGCCCGGGGCUCAACCUGGGAAUUGCAUUUGAAACUGGCAGACUAGAGUACUGUAGAGGGGGGUAGAAUUUCAGGUGUAGCGGUGAAAUGCGUAGAGAUCUGAAGGAAUACCGGUGGCGAAGGCGGCCCCCUGGACAGAUACUGACACUCAGAUGCGAAAGCGUGGGGAGCAAACAGGAUUAGAUACCCUGGUAGUCCACGCCGUAAACGAUGU